RNAcentral lists this ribosomal RNA (477 nucleotides) under uncultured anaerobic ammonium-oxidizing bacterium. RNAcentral's name for it is "bacterial SSU rRNA". It matches the Rfam family "Bacterial small subunit ribosomal RNA", at positions 365 to 832 of the family's 1533-position model. The record is from RNAcentral.
UUCGCAAUGCCCGAAAGGGUGACGAAGCGACGCCGCGUGCGGGAAGAAGGCCUUCGGGUUGUAAACCGCUGUCGGGAAUUAGGAAGUGCAAGGAUGUUAAUAGCGUUCUUGCUUGACUAAGGCUCCGGAGGAAGCCACGGCUAACUCUGUGCCAGCAGCCGCGGUAAUACAGAGGCGGCAAGCGUUGUUCGGAAUUAUUGGGCGUAAAGAGCACGUAGGCGGCUGUGUAAGUCGGUUGUGAAAGCCUUCUGCUUAACGGAAGAACGGCAUCCGAUACUGCAUAGCUUGAGUGCGGGAGGGGAGAGUGGAACUUCUGGUGGAGCGGUGAAAUGCGUAGAUAUCAGAAGGAACGUCGGCGGCGAAAGCGACUCUCUGGCCUAUUACUGACACUGAGUGUGCGAAAGUUAGGGGAGCAAACGGGAUUAGAUACCCCGGUAGUCCUAACUGUAAGCGAUGGGCACUAAGUAGAGGGGUUUU